GGCCAGAUUUGGUGUUUUGAGAGUUAUGACUUGUCCCGUGUCAUAAAAUCCAACUUCUUUGGGAAUUUUUGUCUCAAAUGUAUCUUCUUUGAUGAAUUCUAGACAUUUCCCAUCUACUUCUUGCUCUUGAUUCUUUGGAAAGGUUUCGAAGAUGCCUUUCUCACCCUCUUCUUCCUUGGAUUGCAUGAUCCUGCAAGGAAUAAAGACAUUUGGUGAAACGGGGUCAGGACAAAUUGAAUUUAGGCUUACCUUGGUUGUAGUGGACGGCAUAGAGGGCAUAUGGGGCUGCGGCAAGGGUGGUUCUUCCCUUGCCGUGGCCUUGUUAUUCUCCUAUUCUUCGAGCAGCAGUUGUUUAUCCAUGUUUUGGCUUGGUUUGGAUGUCUUGGGUUCACCUCCAACCUCCAUAGCACUUCCCAAAGUGAUAGCAUCAUGGAUUUCAAAAUCUUCCUUCAAAUUUUCAAUAGUUGAGUUGGAGAGUUCACUUUGCUCUUGAAUUUGUGCCAUGAACUCCAUAAUCUACCCAAUUUGUUUUUCCAAUUCACCCGUCUUCUUGGCUUGAUUUUGCAUCUCUUUGUUUCCAUUUUGUACUUCCUGGUUCAAAGAGGUGAGUAACUUAUUAAACAUAUCAUUAUCCAAAGACUUAC
This 644-nucleotide long non-coding RNA is filed under the name Malus domestica (apple). RNAcentral's name for it is "long non-coding RNA (MDOM_LNC006835)". Lineage: Eukaryota; Viridiplantae; Streptophyta; Magnoliopsida; Rosales; Rosaceae. The record is from RNAcentral.